Molecule: long non-coding RNA, 504 nt
Filed under: Chloebia gouldiae (Gouldian finch)
Lineage: Eukaryota; Metazoa; Chordata; Aves; Passeriformes; Passeridae
Description: Erythrura gouldiae (Gouldian finch) lncRNA (ENSEGOG00005009501.1)
Source: RNAcentral
UAUGGCGCGGCCCGCGAGCAGAAAAUCUCGGGAUUUGUGUGUUUCCCUUCUCCAAGGCACAACGGGGUCGGUGUUUCCGUCGCUUUUCGGGAGGUAAUUCCAGGGACCAUGACUGGGCUGCUACAGGGAUCAGGUUAUCAGAAGAAACUGGGCACUCUGCAGUUAGCUCUUCUGUCACUUUCAGAAGAUUUUGGAGUAAGCUUACCAAGAAGGCCUGCCCAACUUGGAAGAGGGAGAGGAGAGUAGCCUGUUGACUGUCUCAAAGAGCCAAAGUGUGACCAUCUUAUCUUCACCUUCAGCCCAGUCAUUCUCUCUUGACAUCAACAAGGCAUCUCCCAAUGUGCACAAAUAACAGCAGGUACAGUGCAGGCCAUAGGCAGUGAGCUACAGCCCUGGCCUUGGCCCUUGGUUGUCAUCUCACAUCUCGGUGCUGUAGGCAAGGACUUCUUUCACUAGAUCAAGUUUCGGUGUUUGAUGUAAGCCAUAAUCCUCUUAUUAUUUUUU